RNAcentral lists this ribosomal RNA (497 nucleotides) under uncultured bacterium. RNAcentral describes it as "partial 16S ribosomal RNA". It matches the Rfam family "Bacterial small subunit ribosomal RNA", at positions 28 to 507 of the family's 1533-position model. The record is from RNAcentral.
GAUGAACGCUGGCGGCGUGCCUAAUACAUGCAAGUCGAGCGAACAGACGAGGAGCUUGCUCCUCUGACGUUAGCGGCGGACGGGUGAGUAACACGUGGAUAACCUACCUAUAAGACUGGGAUAACAUCGGGAAACCGGAGCUAAUACCGGAUAAUAUAUUGAACCGCAUGGUUCAAUAGUGAAAGACGGUUUUGCUGUCACUUAUAGAUGGCUCCGCGCCGCAUUAGCUAGUUGGUAAGGUAACGGCUUACCAAGGCGACGAUGCGUAGCCGACCUGAGAGGGUGAUCGGCCACACUGGAACUGAGACACGGUCCAGACUCCUACGGGAGGCAGCAGUAGGGAAUCUUCCGCAAUGGGCGAAAGCCUGACGGAGCAACGCCGCGUGAGUGAUGAAGGUCUUCGGAUCGUAAAACUCUGUUAUUAGGGAAGAACAAAUGUGUAAGUAACUAUGCACGUCUUGACGGUACCUAAACAGAAAGCCACGGCUAACUACGUG